Molecule: ribosomal RNA, 522 nt
Filed under: Bacillus sp. MN02-03
Lineage: Bacteria; Bacillati; Bacillota; Bacilli; Caryophanales; Bacillaceae
Description: bacterial SSU rRNA
Rfam family: Bacterial small subunit ribosomal RNA
Source: RNAcentral
CGCCGCGUGAGUGAUGAAGGUUUUCGGAUCGUAAAACUCUGUUGUUAGGGAAGAACAAGUACCGGAGUAACUGCCGGUACCUUGACGGUACCUAACCAGAAAGCCACGGCUAACUACGUGCCAGCAGCCGCGGUAAUACGUAGGUGGCAAGCGUUGUCCGGAAUUAUUGGGCGUAAAGCGCGCGCAGGCGGUUCCUUAAGUCUGAUGUGAAAGCCCCCGGCUCAACCGGGGAGGGUCAUUGGAAACUGGGGAACUUGAGUGCAGAAGAGAAGAGUGGAAUUCCACGUGUAGCGGUGAAAUGCGUAGAGAUGUGGAGGAACACCAGUGGCGAAGGCGACUCUUUGGUCUGUAACUGACGCUGAGGCGCGAAAGCGUGGGGAGCAAACAGGAUUAGAUACCCUGGUAGUCCACGCCGUAAACGAUGAGUGCUAAGUGUUAGAGGGUUUCCGCCCUUUAGUGCUGCAGCAAACGCAUUAAGCACUCCGCCUGGGGAGUACGGCCGCAAGGCUGAAACUCAAAGGA